This 200-nucleotide ribosomal RNA is filed under the name uncultured eukaryote. RNAcentral describes it as "partial 18S ribosomal RNA". It matches the Rfam family "Eukaryotic small subunit ribosomal RNA", at positions 588 to 807 of the family's 1831-position model. The record is from RNAcentral.
GCUCCAAUAGCGUAUAUUAAAGUUGUUGCAGUUAAAAAGCUCGUAGUUGGACCUUAGGCAAGGCCGACUGGUCGGUCGCAAGACCGCACUGGUUGUGCUGCGCCUCACCUUCGGGGAGCCGUGCCGCAAGGCGCGGGGAUCCGAGCUUUACUUUGAAGAAAUUAGAGUGUUCAAAGCAGGCUUACGCUUGAAUACAUUAG